RNAcentral lists this ribosomal RNA (254 nucleotides) under uncultured bacterium. Its description in RNAcentral is "partial 16S ribosomal RNA". It matches the Rfam family "Bacterial small subunit ribosomal RNA", at positions 524 to 776 of the family's 1533-position model. The record is from RNAcentral.
GACGUAGGGCGCGAGCGUUGUCCGGAUUUAUUGGGCGUAAAGAGCUCGUAGGCGGCUUGUCGCGUCGACUGUGAAAACCCGUGGCUCAACCAUGUGGUCUGCAGUCGAUACGGGCAGGCUAGAAUUCGGUAGGGGAGACUGGAAUUCCUGGUGUAGCGGUGAAAUGCGCAGAUAUCAGGAGGAACACCGGUGGCGAAGGCGGGUCUCUGGGCCGAUAUUGACGCUGAGGAGCGAAAGCGUGGGGAUCAAACAGG